Molecule: long non-coding RNA, 252 nt
Organism: Drosophila elegans
Lineage: Eukaryota; Metazoa; Arthropoda; Insecta; Diptera; Drosophilidae
Exons: 3
Source: RefSeq, a predicted model, not a curated record
CUGAAAAAAGUUUGGAGUUUUUGGAAAAUGUGGAUCCCGAGAACGCAGAAUUUUUGAUUGUUCUUUUUAAAGGCAACGUACUACGUACCAAGGCAGCCGAAAACUAAUUUGGUAGGCGCGAAGCAGCCCAGGGGUAAAUUAUAUGAUAAAUAUACCUGUAUAAUAAAAGAUUUGCGUGCUUCAGGAUUACGGUCGAAAGAGUCCGAACAGCCAACAACUGUUCAUGACGAUGGAGUAAAGAGAGAUGAACAG